UGGUGGAAUAACGACAAAUUCUAAUAUAAAAACACGGAAAUCCUAUUAAUGAGGACUUCCGUGUUUUUUUGUUAUUUCA
RNAcentral lists this small RNA (79 nucleotides) under Listeria monocytogenes serotype 4b str. LL195. RNAcentral's name for it is "ctRNA". Lineage: Bacteria; Bacillati; Bacillota; Bacilli; Caryophanales; Listeriaceae. The record is from RNAcentral.